GCCCUUAUAGCUCAGUGGUAGAGCGCAGCACUCGUAUUUCAUGCUGAGGUCCGCGGUUCAAUCCCGCGUGGGGGCA
Thermochaetoides thermophila DSM 1495 is the source of this 76-nucleotide non-coding RNA. The record is from the annotation of a RefSeq genome assembly. NCBI's taxonomy places the organism in Eukaryota, Fungi, Ascomycota, Sordariomycetes, Sordariales, Chaetomiaceae.